Molecule: ribosomal RNA, 253 nt
Filed under: uncultured prokaryote
Description: partial 16S ribosomal RNA
Rfam family: Bacterial small subunit ribosomal RNA
Source: RNAcentral
UACGUAGGCAGCGAGCGUUGUUCGGAAUUACUGGGCGUAAAGAGUGUGUAGGCGGUGCUCUAAGUUCGGUGUGAAAUCUCCUGGCUCAACUGGGAGGGUGCGCCGGAAACUGGAGUGCUUGAGCGUGGGAGAGGAAAGCGGAAUUCCUGGUGUAGCGGUGAAAUGCGUAGAUAUCAGGAGGAACACCGGUGGUGUAGACGGCUGACUGGACCACGACUGACGCUGAGGCACGAAAGCGUGGGUAGCAAACAGG